UACGGGGGGGGCAAGCGUUGUUCGGAAUUACUGGGCGUAAAGGGCUCGUAGGCGGCCAACUAAGUCAGACGUGAAAUCCCUCGGCUUAACCGGGGAACUGCAUCUGAUACUGGAUGGCUUGAGUUCGGGAGAGGGAUGCGGAAUUCCAGGUGUAGCGGUGAAAUGCGUAGAUAUCCGGAGGAACACCAGUGGCGAAAGCGGCCACCUGGACUGCACCUGACGCUGACACGCGAAAGCUAGGGGAGCGAACGGG
RNAcentral lists this ribosomal RNA (253 nucleotides) under uncultured bacterium. Its description in RNAcentral is "partial 16S ribosomal RNA". It matches the Rfam family "Bacterial small subunit ribosomal RNA", at positions 524 to 776 of the family's 1533-position model. The record is from RNAcentral.